GACAAAAAAGAGAACUAGAAAAAGAAGAGUUCGAAGAUUUCUUUGGCUAUUCGACAAGCCGAUCCGAACCCCACGCGUGUUUCUUCGAAGUUUCGAUGGCAAGGUUAGUAUUAAAAUAUUAAUUUUCGUUCUCUUGUUUCGACAAUCAUGUCAAAAAUGGAUUUUGUUAGAAUUGUUGGAGGACUUAGGUUGUAGAUUUGAUCUCUAUUGGAGCCGUUCUCGCGUGCUUUUCGCCGCGAAUUAUUUUUCUACCACGUUGAGGCGCACGCUCGUUAUCACGUGGCUGGAGGAGAUUGUGGACGCGGCUAACGGCCGAUCGAUCCGCUGCUGCGAGCAGCAGAGCAGCCCCUUGUUGCUGCUACUGCUGCUGUGAGCAGCAGCAGCAGAUGAUGCCGCUGCCACUGCUGCAGCAAACAAUGGCAGCAGCAGGCACAGCAGUAGUGGGCGGCGCAGCAGCAGGAAUAGCCGCAUCAUUUGACGAGUAGUUCCGCUGAAAUCGCAGCAGUAGUAGCUCCCAUUCGGGACUCCAAUCGAGUCCGAUUUCGCCUCCAUUUCGAAAUGAAAGUUGAUCCAAGGAUGAUGAUGGUAGUGAGCUUCAAGUUGCGUUUUAUUCCAGUCGAAAUUAAGUUGUACGCAUGAAAUGGAUCUUAUUUUGGUGCUCAAGUGAGGAAGAGGAGCAUGUGGACCUGUUCCUUCACCUAAAUUUUAGAAAAAUUUAUGCCGACAAUUGAUCGAGGUAAAGGGGACUGCAUCAUAGAUAGCAUCUUCAACCCAUGUACACUAAUUGUAGAGGACCACUAGCUAGAUGUUUCACUCAUGCUAUAUACCAGGACUGGCAAGGGUCAGGGCCUUUUCUUUGUCUAUUCAAUUUGCUGGUUAGUUGAGACUUCGGGAUGUAUAGUGUUGUAUCAUAGUUGUAUCAUAGCUGAUACUUCGGUAUAGUGUUGUAUCAUAGUUGGUUUACAGUGGUUCGCUCUGAUACAUGUAAUUUGUUUGUUUAGUGACUUUACUCUUGAUCUUGUGAUAUGGAAAAUAAUUGUGAUUUCUUGGAUUGUUUUGCUACUGUUCUAUUGUUUUG
Ananas comosus (pineapple) is the source of this 1078-nucleotide long non-coding RNA. RefSeq lists it as uncharacterized. NCBI's taxonomy places the organism in Eukaryota, Viridiplantae, Streptophyta, Magnoliopsida, Poales, Bromeliaceae. The transcript has 3 exons. The record is from RefSeq and is a predicted model, not a curated record.